UGACAAUCUACAACAGUCCUGUGAGGGAGUC
RNAcentral lists this non-coding RNA (31 nucleotides) under Rattus norvegicus (Norway rat). The record is from RNAcentral. Lineage: Eukaryota; Metazoa; Chordata; Mammalia; Rodentia; Muridae.